UUCUGACCUCGGAUCAGGUGGGACUACCCGCUGAACUUAAGCAUAUCAAUAAGCGGAGGAAAAGAAACUAACAAGGAUUCCCUUAGUAACUGCGAGUGAAGUGGGAUGAGCUCAAAUUUAAAAUCUGGUAGUCUCUGGCUGCCCGAGUUGUAAUCUAGAGAAGUGUUUUCUGUGCUGGACUGUGUUUAAGUUUCCUGGAUAUGGAACAUCAUAGAGGGUGAGAAUCCCGUCCUUAAUACAGACUCCCCAGUACUAUGUGAUGCACUCUCAACGAGUCGAGUUGUUUGGGAUUGCAGCUCAAAAUGGGAGGUAAAUUCCUUCUAAAGCUAAAUAUUGGCGAGAGACCGAUAGCGAACAAGUACCGUGAGGGAAGAUGAAAAGCACUUUGGAAAGAGAGUUAACAGUACGUGAAAUUGUUAAAAGGGAAACAAUUG
RNAcentral lists this ribosomal RNA (434 nucleotides) under Hydnum subberkeleyanum. RNAcentral describes it as "partial 28S ribosomal RNA". It matches the Rfam family "Eukaryotic large subunit ribosomal RNA", at positions 1 to 425 of the family's 3401-position model. The record is from RNAcentral. Lineage: Eukaryota; Fungi; Basidiomycota; Agaricomycetes; Cantharellales; Hydnaceae.